RNAcentral lists this ribosomal RNA (492 nucleotides) under uncultured bacterium. Its description in RNAcentral is "partial 16S ribosomal RNA". It matches the Rfam family "Bacterial small subunit ribosomal RNA", at positions 29 to 507 of the family's 1533-position model. The record is from RNAcentral.
AGUGAACGCUGGCGGUAGGCCUAACACAUGCAAGUCGAACGGCAGCACAGUAAGAGCUUGCUCUUACGGGUGGCGAGUGGCGGACGGGUGAGGAAUACAUCGGAAUCUACUUUUUCGUGGGGGAUAACGUAGGGAAACUUACGCUAAUACCGCAUAUGACCUACGGGUGAAAGCAGGGGAUCUUCGGACCUUGCGCGAUUGAAUGAGCCGAUGUCGGAUUAGCUAGUUGGCGGGGUAAAGGCCCACCAAGGCGACGAUCCGUAGCUGGCCUGAGAGGAUGAUCAGCCACACUGGAACUGAGACACGGUCCAGACUCCUACGGGAGGCAGCAGUAGGGAAUAUUGGACAAUGGGCGCAAGCCUGAUCCAGCCAUACCGCGUGGGUGAAGAAGGCCUUCGGGUUGUAAAGCCCUUUUGUUAGGAAAGAAAAACAGCAGGUGAAUACCCCGCUGUUCUGACGGUACCCAAAGAAUAAGCACCGGCUAACUUCGUG